RNAcentral lists this ribosomal RNA (443 nucleotides) under uncultured bacterium. RNAcentral describes it as "partial 16S ribosomal RNA". It matches the Rfam family "Bacterial small subunit ribosomal RNA", at positions 338 to 795 of the family's 1533-position model. The record is from RNAcentral.
CCUACGGGAGGCAGCAGUGGGGAAUAUUGGGCAAUGGAGGCAACUCUGACCCAGCAACGCCGCGUGAAUGAUGAAGGUCUUCGGAUUGUAAAGUUCUGUGAUGGGGGAUGAACACAAUGACGGUAACCCAAUAGCAAGCCACGGCUAACUACGUGCCAGCAGCCGCGGUAAUACGUAGGUGGCACGCGUUAUCCGGAAUGACUGGGCGUAAGGGGUGCGAAGGUGGUUUAGUAAGUUGGCGGUGUAAGUCCGGGGCUUAACCUCGGCGCUACCGCCAAAACUAUUAGACUAGAGUGCUUGAGGGGUAAGUGGAAUUCCUAGUGUAGCGGUGGAAUGCGUAGAUAUUAGGAGGAACAUCAGGGGCGAAGGCGACCUACUGGACUGUUACUGACGCUGAGGCACGAAAGCGUGGGGAGCAAACAGGAUUAGAUACCCUUGUAGUC